UACGUAGGCAGCAAGCGUUGUUCGGAAUUACUGGGCGUAAAGAGUGUGUAGGCGGUGCCCUAAGUUUGGUGUGAAAUCUCCCGGCUCAACUGGGAGGGUGCAUCGAAAACUGGGGUGCUCGAGGGUGGGAGAGGUAAGCGGAAUUCCUGGUGUAGCGGUGAAAUGCGUAGAUAUCAGGAGGAACACCUGUGGUGUAGACAGCUUACUGGACCACUUCUGACGCUGAGACACGAAAGCGUGGGGAGCGAACAGG
Molecule: ribosomal RNA, 253 nt
Filed under: uncultured bacterium
Lineage: Bacteria
Description: partial 16S ribosomal RNA
Rfam family: Bacterial small subunit ribosomal RNA
Source: RNAcentral